RNAcentral lists this ribosomal RNA (468 nucleotides) under uncultured bacterium. RNAcentral's name for it is "partial 16S ribosomal RNA". It matches the Rfam family "Bacterial small subunit ribosomal RNA", at positions 28 to 507 of the family's 1533-position model. The record is from RNAcentral.
GACGAACGCUGGCGGCGUGCUUAACACAUGCAAGUCGAACGGAAAGGCCCUGCUUUUGUGGGGUGCUCGAGUGGCGAACGGGUGAGUAACACGUGAGUAACCUGCCCUUGACUUUGGGAUAACUUCAGGAAACUGGGGCUAAUACCGGAUAGGAGCUCCUGCUGCAUGGUGGGGGUUGGAAAGUUUCGGCGGUUGGGGAUGGACUCGCGGCUUAUCAGCUUGUCGGUGGGGUAGUGUCUUACCAAGGCUUUGACGGGUAGCCGGCCUGAGAGGGUGACCGGACACAUUGGGACUGAGAUGCGGCCCAGACUCGUACGGGAGGCAGCAGUGGGGAGUGUUGCACAAUGCGCGGAAGCCUGAUGCAGCAACGCCGCGUGCGGGAUGACGGCCUUCGGGUUGUAAACCGCUUUCGCCUGUGACGAAGCGUGAGUGACGGUAAUGGGUAAAGAAGCACCGGCUAACUACGUG